This 359-nucleotide transfer RNA is filed under the name uncultured Microcystis sp. RNAcentral describes it as "partial 16S-23S ribosomal RNA intergenic spacer". The stretch from base 136 to 209 matches the Rfam family "tRNA". Lineage: Bacteria; Bacillati; Cyanobacteriota; Cyanophyceae; Chroococcales; Microcystaceae. The record is from RNAcentral.
AAAGGGAGACCUAAUUCGGGUAGGAGACGAAAAAAAAGUAGUCCCUACCAAGAAUCAAUCCCAAAAGGUCGGAGCGAGGCGAAAUUGGCUUUCAAACUAGGUUCUGGGUUCACACAAGACCUGAAUCAGGAACAAGGGCUAUUAGCUCAGGUGGUUAGAGCGCACCCCUGAUAAGGGUGAGGUCCCUGGUUCGAGUCCAGGAUGGCCCACCUGCACAGGUGGCAAAAACAAAAAAGCUCCGAAUCAGCACCUUAUCUUACUUAUAUAGUAAGAGAGAAUGCUGGCUCUGAGUUCAGAGUCCAGAGGAACCUUGAAAACUGCAUAGAGCUAGGUGAAAAAGCCAAAAAAGAAGACCGUCA